GUCCUCUGGAAGCACACAGUCGGGUGCGCCCAGGCGCCACGGGCCACGCGGGUCCCAGUCGGGGUGACGCAGUUCGAUGCAUGUCAUGGCGACGCCGUCAAAGCCUCGGACCAAGGGUCCAUUUUCAUCGCGUGCUACGUCUAUCGGCGCCUCAAACAUGGCGCGCAACUCGUCGCAGGUCGCCCGGUGUGUUGUGGCCGCGCGGCGCGCGAGCACAGUCGCGUUGAAUCUCACCAAAUCCUGCAUGGCGUUCGGAUCGCACUUGGCAUUGUGGUGGGCCUGCGCGAUGGCCCAUGCGAGAUCUGUUGGCUCGCAGCCACGGACCAUCCAAGCGUGACAUGAGAGCACCGUAUCGGGCAGCGCGAGGUCAUCGCCUGUCUCGGGAUCGGUCGACCGCCACACUGCGUGGGUGCGCCAGGCGUCGAGCGCCUUGGCCUCGUAGGCGCGGCCGCUCGAUAAUACGCGACAGUCAGCGGCCGCCACCAUUGUCCCGGUCAAAAAGCAACGAAUCAUUGGCGCGCCAUCCAAUCCACCGGCGACUGGAGACAGACGACCAAAGGGCACUCGGUCACAUUCGGCUAGAGUCGCGUCGCCGGUGGCAACUAUUUCCAUGCAUCCAUCGACCGAGGCCGUUCGACUUUGAAUCGCCGCCAGCAUGGCAUCAUGGUGGUCCAGUGCGCAAUCGGAUCGAUCUAGGUAGAGCGCAAACGAUCGGCCCAUGGGCGACGUGGGGUCAGACGGCACCAGGUACGACCCUCGGUCACUGUCGGCGGGCGCCGCCGUGAUCGCAUGCCACGCCCGUGGGUCGUCGAGGGUGGGAAAGAAGCGACGCCCGGCGAGCCGCCGAUCAUCGCACGCGUCCGACACGCUGAUAAAGAACGGACCACAGUCGCCGCCAAUGACGACGUCGCCCGACGGUGUGUCGAUGCGGUAGGCGGUGCCUCGGGAGCGCCUGAUUCCGUUUGCUGACAGGGCGGUCGACGUAUCGCGCGUCGACAUGGCCUUUCCGUCGCGCCGUUCCGAGGCACGCACAAUUUUCCACACGUGCGUAUCACCGUGCCAUAAAGCCUCUGCCAGGUCGCCGGAGCGAGUCCUUUUCACGCCGCGCUUUGCCACAAAGUUGCACUUGUCCGUGCCACUCUGCUUGAUCUGGCCCGAAAACGUGUGGCAAUCCGCACCAGCGUCGACGUGGAGCACUCGACCGUUCCUCCGCCCACCAGACCAUUCAGCCCAUGACAUUGAACCGCCGGGCCAUUUGUAGAUGCCAAACCCAUCGCGCUCGUCGUCGACGAACGAACCCUCGUAAAAGUGGUCGUCAAGAUACUCGGAUCCGCGACCUUGGGCACACAGGCGAACAUCAAAGUUUUGGCAGCGUGUAAUGUUGUCGACAUAUUCAAAGUCGUUGGUGCCCGCCGGCCGGUAGACGCGGCCGGGUCCGGUAAAGACGCCCUCGUGCCACGUGCCUUCACAAAUGAUCCCGUCGGCCGACGCGUGUGCCCCGUACCCGUCGAGGCGCAAUCGGGUGUCGCCCGUCGCCGGAUCGGUCACGAGGCAGCAUUCGCCACUCGUCACGAUUUUGCCGUCGGCCGACAUGAGCCUGGUGCACAGGCGCCGUGUGGUUGGAUCACGCCAGACACGCCCCGCGGGCACGGCCGCUAGCGCAUACAGCCAGCGCACGUCCUUGCCAUGCGCGGCAAAGUCAACAUGCGUGGCGGGCGGCAAGUCGCAACCGAAAUCGCGCCGGUAGGCCGACCGCCACAAGUCCUCACAACUGGCCACGCCAUAGACCAAGCGACACGUGGCGCCGGCCGCGGCCAGGCUCGGUCCAGGCAAGACCGACAGAAUGUGCAUGAGGACCUCGCACGGCAUGGUGUCCAAGGAGGCCAUUGCGUGUGGUUGGUAUUGUCGUGGGCGUCGUCGUCGUCGUCGUCGUUGUUGGUUUGUCGCCAGCGCGAUGGCGGCAGUCUUUUCGCAUUUCUUUCGUCUCACCCGCGCACCAACGGGCAGCCGACACUUGUAAAAAAGAACAUCCACCAACGACAAAAAAGGGCGCCUAAAUCGACGACCGAGCACAAAAAAAGAC
Molecule: long non-coding RNA, 2083 nt
Filed under: Pandoravirus quercus
Description: hypothetical ncRNA
Source: RNAcentral